AGGGUAUUAGUUUAAAAAAACAUCUAAUUUGCAUUUAGAAGAAGAAAUUAUUCAUACCUUA
Molecule: transfer RNA, 61 nt
Filed under: Colpocephalum eucarenum
Lineage: Eukaryota; Metazoa; Arthropoda; Insecta; Psocodea; Menoponidae
Description: tRNA-Ala
Source: RNAcentral